RNAcentral lists this ribosomal RNA (253 nucleotides) under uncultured bacterium. RNAcentral describes it as "partial 16S ribosomal RNA". It matches the Rfam family "Bacterial small subunit ribosomal RNA", at positions 524 to 776 of the family's 1533-position model. The record is from RNAcentral.
UACGGAGGGGGCCGGCGUUGUUCGGAAUCAUUGGGCGUAAAGGGCGCGUAGGCGGCCGACCAAGUCGGAGGUGAAAUCCCUCGGCUCAACUGAGGAACUGCCUCCGAUACUGGCCGGCCUGAGUCCCGGAGAGGGUAGUGGAAUUCCGAGUGUAGCGGUGAAAUGCGUAGAGACUCGGAAGAACACCAGUGGCGAAGGCGGCUACCUGGACGGGUACUGACGCUGCAGCGCGAAAACUAGGGGAGCAAACAGG